RNAcentral lists this ribosomal RNA (549 nucleotides) under uncultured bacterium. RNAcentral's name for it is "bacterial SSU rRNA". It matches the Rfam family "Bacterial small subunit ribosomal RNA", at positions 355 to 896 of the family's 1533-position model. The record is from RNAcentral.
UGGGGAAUUUUGGACAAUGGGGGCAACCCUGAUCCAGCCAUGCCGCGUGUCUGAAGAAGGCCUUCGGGUUGUAAAGGACUUUUGUUAGGGAAGAAAAGGGAAGUGCUAAUACCACUUUUUGCUGACGGUACCUAAAGAAUAAGCACCGGCUAACUACGUGCCAGCAGCCGCGGUAAUACGUAGGGUGCGAGCGUUAAUCGGAAUUACUGGGCGUAAAGCGAGCGCAGACGGUUACUUAAGCAGGAUGUGAAAUCCCCGGGCUCAACCUGGGAACUGCGUUCUGAACUGGGUAGCUAGAGUAUGUCAGAGGGGGGUAGAAUUCCACGUGUAGCAGUGAAAUGCGUAGAGAUGUGGAGGAAUACCGAUGGCGAAGGCAGCCCCCUGGGAUAAUACUGACGUUCAUGCUCGAAAGCGUGGGUAGCAAACAGGAUUAGAUACCCUGGUAGUCCACGCCCUAAACGAUGUCGAUUAGCUGUUGGGCAGCUUGACUGCUUAGUANCGAAGCUAACGCGUGAAAUCGACCGCCUGGGGAGUACGGUCGCAAGAUUA